Molecule: long non-coding RNA, 9030 nt
Filed under: Vigna radiata
Lineage: Eukaryota; Viridiplantae; Streptophyta; Magnoliopsida; Fabales; Fabaceae
Description: long non-coding RNA (VRAD_LNC002096)
Source: RNAcentral
GACCAAGUAUCGUUUUCCCAAGAGACUCGAAAGGCUUUCUCGUUCACGUCAAUUAAAAUAAUAAGACCUGAAAAUAAAAAUUGAUUGAGAAUUAAAACAAAAUAUGAACAUGUAAAAGAGAUUGAUUCAAAUGACAAGAAGAAAACAAUGGAUGAAUGGAGUUGUUAGGGGUUUACAAUUUCAUCGUUAUCCACUCUCUUAUCUACUCCUCUUGAAUUAUUAGCUUGAUUAAUUAAUUGUCAUGCAACUUUCUUAGCCUACCCUUAACCCGAUCCCUCGGCGAAAAGAGCCUAAUAUUAACUACUGGCUUGCUAUCCCUAGCCUCCCCUAGCAUUAUAGAGCAGAAGUUAAACACAAUUGAUCGUCAUACCCGUACUCUUCGAAUUUUCAAUUUUCUUCUAUUUUCUUGAGUCUACGACCUUUAUCUUCAACUCCAUACUUCACUUUCUCAAAAUAGCUACAAAACAAUGCAAAACAAACAUAAUAUUGGUAAAAACAACUUUUGACUCUCUACAGACUCAUUUAUUGAGUUUUGCUUGAUUCUAAGCUCAUUCUAAGUAGUAAAGGGCGUAAUUCGGUCUAAAAUGACAUAUGAAAAUAACUGUUUUUCAACCUUCAUCAACACCCCAAACUUAGGACUUUGCUUGUCCUCAAGCAAAAGAAAACAAAACAACACACAAAACAAAAAUUGGCUUUAUCCUCUUUCAACAUUCCCAAAGUAUAUGACAAAACUACUCAAUCCCAAAUCUUCAGUGAAAUCAAAUUAAGAUGUAUGCAUGCUUUUAAUCCAGAGAUUGCACAACAAAUGUUACACGCUAUGAAUGAUCAAUCCACGAAGCAAAAAUGCACUCAUGAAAAUUAACAGUUCAUACCAAGCAAGUUUUUCACUCAAUCACUCAAGUGUUUAAGGUGACACUCCAACUCUCUAUUGUUCACAAGUCACAUGAAACAAAAUUGUCAUUCAUCUCAAACAAUCAAAAUCCUUACAUGCAAAUGCCAUCAAAAGGACUUUUCAAGGCUUGUAAUGAGGUUGGGUUAACAAGAAGAAUUGGUUUUUCUGGAAUACAAAGUCCUUGAGUUAUGAGAGCUAUCAAAAUAUUUAACAAAUUAAGCACAACUCUCUUCCUCACCAAUCUCACUCAUUCCCAACUUUUUCCCUUUUUCUUUUUCAUUGAGCUCCUUUUCAUGCUUUUCUUCUUUUCUUUUCUUUUUCUCAUGAAUUUUUCUUUUCACAACAUUUGAGCUCAAUGCUUCACAAUUGCUUUUCAAUUUUUCCCCAUACAACCCCAAACUUGAACCUUUUCAUCCCAUACAUUUAAGCUCAUCCCAACUCAAGGUGAAGAAUUUCACGAAAAGGGUUCACAUCCUAUUUAAGGCUAAGGUUCAAAAAGGCUAUAAUAUUUCAAGCAUUUUGGGUGAAAUUUUGGCUAGAGAAGGGUUCUAAAAAAUGGCCUUGAUCAUAUGACAUUCACAUGCAAUUCAAUCAAUUAUCAAGAUUAAGGCAAUAUCAUUCAUCUUUUCCUGUGAACAAUGCAUACAACAAUAAAAACUCUGGAGCUCAAUACCUCACGCAACAUGCUUUUUCAUACAAAAUUCAAUUAUGCAUCCUGCUUAGCAUCAAAACCACAAUCAUAAUUCAUCACACAUCUAUUUCACAGAAUAUCAACAUGCAUUGCAAUUCAAUUAUCAUUCACAUCAAAUAAUCAUCAAAUAGCUCCAUCAUGCACAUCAGUUAGUCAAACAUUUUCAGAAAAAGUAUUCAAGCCAAGAGUACACACUAAAAUUAAAAUUCAACCUAUUCUAGGAAUUUAAAAUGCAAAAGUGUAAGAAGAAAUCUAGGUUGCCUCCUAGUAGCGCUUGUUUAACAUCACGAGCCUGACCCAAACCUGUUUGGCACUUGUCAGUAAGUGCACUUCCUUCCAACACCCAUUAGUAGGUGUGCCUUCCUGGAAUCCUUCAGUGGAUUCAAAAAUUUUCUAGCAUCCCUCAGUAGAUGCUAUCAUUACGGCCAUCAGAAGUAGCACAUAACCCAAAAAAAAUAAAAAUAAAUAUAAAAAUAGAAAAUAAAAAUAAAAUAAAAUCAAAUCAAAUCAAAUCAAAUCAAAUCAAAUCAAAUCAAAUCAAAUAAAAUAAAAUAAAAUAAUCAAAUAAAAUAAAAUAAAAUAAAAUCGAAUAAAAUAAAAUAAAAUCAAAUAAAAUCAAAUAGAAUAAAAUCAAAUAAAAUCAAAUCAAAUCAAAUCAAAUCAAAUCAAAUCAAAUAAAAUCAAAUCAAAUAAAAGCAAAUAAAAAUAAAAUAAAAUCAAAACGAAAUAAAAAAAUUCAGAAACUGGGUUGCCUCCCAACAAGCGCUCUUUUUAUGUCACUAGCUUGACCUGGUAGAGUUCAAACAUCCAUCAGUAGGUGUUGAUACUCCCUUUCUUGAUAUUCUUUUCUUUUUCUUCUUCCUGCUGAAUUUCUUCAUAAAAUUAAGAACACCAAGCACCUGUUUCCAUGUUUCAAUCAUAGGAACUUUAAUCUCCAAUUUCUUGAAGAUCUCCAUAAAGCUCAAAAAUUUAUUUUCCUUCCUAUGAUCUUUUCUUUUUACCUCUCUUCCUUUUCUUCUCUCUCCUCAACUUUCCUCUUUUCUCUUUUCUUCUUUUCUUCUUUAUUUUUGAAUAUUUUUUCUUUUUUUCUUUUUUCUCAACCACUGGUUUUUCUCCCUCAUCAUCUUUAUCUUCCUCAACCAACUCUUCUAAUUCUUCUUCUUUUAAAUCUCUUUCUAUCUUUUCUUCCUUGACAACUUUAUCAUUUUUAGAAAUAUUGGCUUGAUAUUCUUCUUUAGGGUUAACUUCAGUGUUAUCCCUAAUAAUGCCCAAAGACUUCAAUACCUUUGUUAUCUCAUCUUCAUCUAUCUUCUCUUCAUCAAUAACCUAGUCAUCCUCAAAGAUAAUGGCUUGACAUUCUUCUUUAGGGUUAACUUCAGUAUUAACCCUAAUAAUACCCAGAGACUUCAAUGCACAAGAGAUUUGUUCAUCCUGCAAACGUUGUUUCGCUUCCCCUAAUGUUUCUCUUGGCACAAAGGAUUCUUUCUGCCAUAAAAGUUGCUCGGCUUCCACUACAAGAAAAUUUUCAAUUACAUACAGCCAAAAUCCGUAUAUAAUCACCAAAAUCCGUAUAUAAAAUGGUAUUAUAUACGGAUUAUAUACGGACAAAAAUCCGUAUAUAAAACAGUCGUAGGUAAAUUAUAUACGGAUAUAUCCGUAUAUAAAUUAUAUACGGAAAAUCCGUAUGUAAUUUACAUAUGGAAAAAUCCGUAUAUAAUUAUGUACUUAUAUACGGAAAAAUCCGUAUGUAACUUUAUGGCUUUAAAAAAAAAAUUAAACGAUCUCACAUCUACAUCUAAUAAUUAGAACUUUUAUAUAUUUGAUAAAAUUCAAAUACAACUGUUAAAUUGUCAAAAUAUAGUAUCAAAUUGUCAAAUAAUAACUAAUUAUCUUUUACAGUUGAUACAUUACAUGAAUAAAUCAUAAACUUUGAAAGAGAAAAUACGAACACAAGAAGAAGAACCCUGACUGAUGCCAAAUCUCACAUAUCACAGGAUGGUCAAAAGCUUCAUGGUCUGAAAAGGAAGCCACACGAACAAGCUCUUUAUUGAGAAACCGAAACCAGUAUGGAGUAUUUUUGUACUCAUAACCUACAAAAUCAUUUGUCAAUCAAACCGGGUUGUAUGCAAUGAAAGAACUAAACUACGUUGGCAUCACCAUUCGAGCCCAAUUGAAGCCUAUCAUAACAUUAUAGCAAUAAUAUUAGCUCAAGCUAGUUUUGUUCACAAAUUAUUUAAACAUAUAAUGUCCCCAGCUUAAUUCCAAGCCCAAACAAUUCAAAAUGAAUAAUAUUAAGUAUAUGAUGUAUAGUUGAACAUUCAUUCACAUAUAUAAAUUAAACUAAUGCAAAUUUUAUUUUCAGUUUCAUUUCUAAUCAAUAUAGAAUAUAGUCUAGUUUUAACUAUUGAAUUGUAUUUUCAGUUUCAUUUUAGCAUUAUAGACAAGUCUGAAUCAUCUUAUUAGAUUUCUAAACUCUUUAAAAAAGUCUGCCUUUUUCUUAAUCAUAUAACUCACACCAUUAACAUUCAUCAAGACAUAUUAGCUUUAAUUUAGGUUCCAUUGGCCAAUUCUCAAUUCUUCAUCUAUUUCACUUGUUCAGUUCUAUUACCUAUUCAUAAACACCAUUUUAAGCUUCUUCAAAUCAUCAAAUGCACAUUAGAAUUUCAGGGUUUAAAAAUCUGUUUUCAAGACAGAAAAUAUGCAGUAAAAAGCUAUCAUUUUGGGCUUCCACAUAGAAAUUUCAAUUAUGCAUUCAUUUUCCAGCAUUAGUAUCAUAAUUCAUACAUAAUAGCCAUUUUAGAUUUUCUUAGGCAUUUAUACGUAUACUUCUACGUUGCAUCCACAUUCUGCACCAAAAAUUCCAAUUAAGAAACUAUUAAAAAGGCUAGUUUUAGGUUCAUACACAAAUUCUGUUUGCACUCUUUCUGAAUUGUAGCUGCACACCUCUCAUUCAUGAGGUCAAUUAAACUAGUUGCAUGCAUUCUUACAUCUUUCAUAGCAUGUUUCAUUAUUUCCAUACAAUACAUCUUGAGAAUUUUAAUAGUUCAUUUUACAUUCUAUAUUUUUAUUUUCCCUCAUUGCAUUUUCGUUGUUUUUAACAAGAUUAACCAUACACACUUAAACCUAAAAUAAUGAUUAAGAAAGCUAAUAGACAAUGCAUCUCAACAAUAGUGAUAGAACCUGCCCAAGUGAAUUGCCAAAGUUGGGAUCCGCAUUAUAGGUUCCUCAAUCCUAACAUGAUGACUGAAUAUGAAAUAGAACCCGCAUUCUCUUCUCGAACAAUGACCCUCCCGCCAUUAAGUCCCGGUCAAAUCACGUAUAAACAAAAACUCCAUCCUUAAGGUUGGUGACUCACAUCAUUCUCUGAAUUGAAAUGAUAGAAUGAAAUGGGGUGAGGUCAGGUGUAGUGGAGGUGAUGAGGUAGCUUCUCUCUUAAAUAUGGGAGCUUAAAUAAUUGAUUCAAAAAAUGUGUCACAAAUGGUAAUGAGGUAGUUACAUUUAAUUUAAUCACUAAUAAGAUAAAGUUCAAAAUAUAAAAAACCUAUUGAUUACAUAAAUGUGAAUUUAUUGUGAAACAAUUUUAUGCAAUUAUCUGAUUACAUAAAGUUCAAAAUAUAAAAAACCUACUGAAUUUUAUAAUAAAUAUUUUAAAUAAAAAAGGUGUAUUGUUAUUAUCUUGUUUUAAAGUUAAUAUAUACUUCCAAAUAUAUUUACUUGUUUUAGAAGAAUAAUUGAAAUGAUUUUCACAAACAGUUAAACUCAAUCUUAUGGUUUGUUGUCACACCAUGUAUCCUGAGACAAUAUAAGAUAUAUGCCACAAUUAUAUUUUUCGCAAUAAAACUUUAAUCCUUGGGUGAUGGGAGUAGUUAAAGUCAAGAGAAGAAAACAUAAAACUUGGACCUCAAGCGAAGCAUUACUUCAUAAAGAAAGUUUUGAAUAUUUGUUUAAUUUUUGGGGGGAGUAUAAAACAUACCUUAUAAAUUCAGCAGGAACAUAUACACCUCUAUUAGGAAGGAAGUAGUUCCUUUCCCUGCCUAGUAUAAUUGGAGGAUAUGGAACUGGAAAAGUGAAAAAUAAAAUACAAAAAAGAAUCAAAAGUUGCAAGAAUCCAAUCCCACCAAGUAUCUACUAAAAAAUUCCUUUAAUGCAUCAAAUAUUGGCAUUUAAUCACAUUGAUGUAAAAAGAAAUGUAUUAGCUCCCUUUUUUGGCUCAUAAAGCUAAAUCCCUGUUUGUAAUUCAUAGAACUUAAAUGAAGGAAAAUCCAAGUAGGAAGCAGGGUUUGACUACAAUAAGUUGGUAUCUUCUCAUAAUUUGUUUGACUAGUUUUCAAAGAAACAUCUUUGUAUAUAACAAGUUAAAUUCAACAUUUGUUCAAAUCUUUAUUGUAAAAGCCCAAAUCUAAUGCCCACGACUACUCAUCACAAAAGAACCUAAAAAAAUGUUAAAUAAAAGUCCCUGCUGAAAUAUCAGUUUAUUAUAUUGAAAGAAUAAUGAUAAUAACAAACAACUAAGAUUUUCAAGAUAAUAAAUCUAGUUCCCAAGACUACUCAUUAUAAAAAAAACCUACAAAUUAAAACUGUGUUAUGUAAAAGUCCCUACUUUGGUAUCAAUUUAUCAUUGCCAAAGAAUAAUGAUAACAUCAAAUAACUAAAAUAUAAGAAGGCCAAACUGAAUCUCUCAUUAUUACAACACCAGUUAUUUGUUUCACCUCUACAUCAUAUCAUACCGCCCCAAUUGUUGUUGCUUUAAAUUUAACAAAUAUAGUACCACUAUGUCGCCAGUAGUGGCUACUACUGAAUGAGCAACUUCCAUCUCCCUGUCAUUCUCGAGAAAGGCAGCCAACUACACGGAAGUUAGAAAUACCAAAUUAACAUUAUAUUUAAUUGGUUAUUAGUGUCAUUUGUUUGCAUUUAUGAAAUGAGAAACGUAGAUAAGUUUUUGGUUGGAAGAAAUAAAAUACCUACAAUGGAUCCAUCCUGGCAGUAGAUUUAAAGAACUUGUCAAAAAAGGACCCCUCAACCGAUAACAACAAAAGCAGCACAAACUAAAUAGAUAUAAUGGUUGAUACACUAUAAACUUAAACCGAGGUUGUGAUUGUUAAAAGCCUACCAAGCUUGACUUCGAAAGUUAUGUUCCCAAGUGCAUGAAGCAGACUUAUCGUACCACAAGCAUUACCCACGGUUUGCUUCGUAAAGUACACUUUACUGCUAUAAUCCUACAGCAGAACAACAAAAAUACUCUACUCAAUGCAGGUGCUUCAUUGAUAGACACACAGUUAAAAAUUCAAUUGUAUGAUAUAUGCUACCUAAAAUUAAGAUUUAUAGGGCACUAUUUAAUAAAAUAACCAAUUAAGCUUGAAAGACAAUCUAUAAUUAAUAAUACUCUACCGUCCAAACAAAAUGCAGAAUGCUUUGAAUCAAGGAAAACGAAUAGUCACAGAUGAAAAGACUCCAUAAAUAGACAUAUCCACUCAGGCACUCACCUUUUUUUCAUUUUCCUGUUGCAACCUUUCUUCUUCAGUCUUUUAAGAGGAAAUAAAAGAACCCAAAAUCAGAAGCAACAGAUAUGAAAAUGACUUGACAAUAGAAAUAAAAAUUGGAAAAAGAAAAACUCACAUGUUCGUGAGUUGAAGCUAACCUUUGCGGUAAUGGGAUAAAGAAAAAGCACAACAAGAACUGGAUUUGGAACCAUUUCCAGAAGCUCUUCAUCCAAGCCAAAAACAUCACAAAACUCUACCUCUUCCAUUAGAAGGCCAAGACCCCAGAAGAACUGUAAUUCAUCCAAGAAAACACUUAAAUUCAUGCCUGGUUCAUGACAUCUAGGUUAUCUUCAAGAGGAAGCCACCUUUUCGCAGAUGGGCAUUCGUCUAGGGUGGCCAUUCUAAUUUCUUUCUAAUUGCUCUUAUUGGAGAGUUAUUGGAGAGUCGCCAUCGAGCAUGAUGGUUGGAAGCGGAACCCUAAGGGAGCGAGAGGAAGUUGUGAGAGUGAGGAAAAAGUGUGAGGAGUGAACGAUGAUGGAGAGGUCGGGGCAUUGGAGAGAGGGGUUUAGGGUUUUGACAUUCGGGAGACCGUAUCAUUGAGAUAUGGGACUAUGCCUCCUCCCAUGUGUAACGCAAUCCUUAAUCGCGUUUUCCGCCGCCGUUCAUUCUAUUACCUUCCUUGCACUAUGCUCCUCCAUAUAUUCAAAAGAGGAGAGUUUCAGUCUGUGAGAAGAGACUUCGAGUUAGGGUUCGAAAGAGAUUCAACACAAAACAAAUCGAGUGAGUUUAUUCGAGCAAAGGAGCAGGAAUUAAUAAAAUCUAAUUUUAAUUUUCUUUUUAAAAAAAUAAUUUUCAGAUUCGUAUAUUUGCUUUUAUUUACAUACAAAUUAUGUACUUACAUAUGGGUGAUAUCCUUAGAAAACGUUUCUACCAUCGUACAUGCAAAUUAUAUACGCAUUUUAUAUACGGAUAUAUCAGUAGAUAAAAUCCGUAUAUAAAAUCCGUAUGUAAUACAUCUGUACCUAAAGUCCGUAUAUAAUAUUUAUAUUAUAUACGGAUCCAAAUCCGUAUGUAAAUAUCGGUCGGUAAUAACCAUUUUUCUUGUAAACGUUGUUGAGCUUCCCCUAACGUUUCUUUUCGUACAGAAGAUUGUUUUUGUUGUAAACGUUGUUGGGCUUCCCCCAACGUUUCUUUUCGCGAAGGGGAAUGUUGCCCAAAUUGGCGUUGAUAUAUGUUUGAAUAAGGUUCUCACCAGUGACCGAAACUAUUUUGGUAGAAUUGAGUGCCUAUAGAAUCAAAUUCUUGUCCAAACUGCAUUCUGCAAAAAAUAGGCACAAAACCCUAGAAAACAUUUAUUAGAAAAAAAAUGAAAAUAACAAAAAAAAAAUCAAGUCAAACUCAAUCAAUUCACACUACUAGAAAAAUAAACCUCGAGUCCCCGGCAACGGCGCCAAAAACUUGUUAACGGAUUGGCAAGCGUACCAAAUCGUUCAAGUAAUAAUAAUGGUAAGACCAAGUAUCAUUUUCCCAAGAGACUCGAAAGGAUUUCUCGUUCACGUGAAUUAAAAUAAUAAGACUUGAAAAUAAAAAUUAAUUGAUUGAGAAUUAAAAUAAAAUAUGAACAUGUAAAAGAGAUUGAUUCCAUUGACAAGAAGAAAACAACGGAUGAAUGGAGUUGUUGGGGGUUUACAAUUUCAUCUAUAUCCGCUCUCUCUUAUCUACUCCUCUUGAAUUAUUAGCUUGAUUAAUUAAUUGUCAUGCAACUUUCUUAGCCUACCCUUAACCCGAUCCCUCGGCAAAAAGAGCCUAAUAUUAACUAUUGGCUCGCUAUCCCUAGCCUCCCCUAGCAAUUAGUACAACAUUAUAGAGCAGAAGUUAAACGCAAUUGAUCGUCAUACCCCUAUCCCUAGGUGAUAUUGCAGAAUCAAGAAAUUACUCACCAGUUCAUGACAAUACUGUACGUCCCC